UGCCAGACUCCUACGGGAGGCAGCAGUGGGGAAUAUUGGACAAUGGGGGGAACCCUGAUCCAGCGACGCCGCGUGAGUGAAGAAGUAUUUCGGUAUGUAAAGCUCUAUCAGCAGGGAAGAAAAUGACGGUACCUGACUAAGAAGCCCCGGCUAACUACGUGCCAGCAGCCGCGGUAAUACGUAGGGGGCAAGCGUUAUCCGGAUUUACUGGGUGUAAAGGGAGCGUAGACGGUGCAGCAAGUCUGAUGUGAAAGGUGGGGGCCCAACCCCGGGACUGCUUUGGAAACUGUGUAACUGGAGUACAGGAGGGGCAGGCGGAAUUCCUGGUGUAGCGGUGAAAUGCGUAGAUAUCAGGAGGAACACCGGCGGCGAAGGCGGCCUGCUGGACUGAAACUGACGUUGAGGCUCGAAAGCGUGGGGAGCAAACAGGAUUAGAUACCCCAGUACC
Molecule: ribosomal RNA, 448 nt
Filed under: uncultured bacterium
Lineage: Bacteria
Description: bacterial SSU rRNA
Rfam family: Bacterial small subunit ribosomal RNA
Source: RNAcentral